AUUGGGAUAUUUUUAAAGUCCCCCAGCUGAUUCUAAUUUACAGCCAAGAUUGCUAACCACAGUGCUAGGAAAUGGCCUCAGGCAGAUCUUUCGCGUAAGUGUAGAAAAAGUUCUCCGGGUUCCUCUUAGGGGAGAGACCAUUUUUAUCUGCUGCUCACUGAGAAGCAGAGAGAAAGGAGGCUGCCUAGUUGCCAGGAGGAACAUUGACCUGCCACAGCCUCCUACAUCUGUCCUAGAAGUGAAGUCCAUUUUCUGCUAAAGACAAAAAGAGAAGUGAAUUCCGUAAUCUACAAACCAAUUUCCUUCACUCCCUACUGGUGUUGGUGGCUUUCCUCGCGGGAUAACCCUGACCAUCCUGAGCCUCUGGUCACCCUGCUUCCUUCAAGUCUGAGUUGCACUAGUCCACUGGCCAUUAAGCUUAAGCAAGUGGAUCACGUCUUUAAUGGAACCCAUUACAGUUAUGCAAUUUUCCCUGGAAUGUGACAGCUUAUUAGAGAGUGCUCCGAAAAAAAUACCUAUGGAAAGGAAGAGAAAGAAGUAAGAUUGGGCAGAAGGAAAAGUUGGGCUGAGAUGCAGUCUCAAUGAAUGCCACAGCUGGCCUAGGGGGAGCUCUUGGUAUGGAUUGGCCUUGCAGAGGUUGUCCUGAGUUGAGGUCCUCUCACUCUAUCCUUCCUAACAACUUCAUAAUGAAGAUUAAUGGGACGUGGCUGGAUAUUCCAUGUCUUGCUGCAAGGGUGUUUACUGAAUUCUAUACUGGAUACUGACUCUGGGAAGCUCUCAAAGAAGCAAUGAAUUACAGAUAGAUUCUGGUUCUGCUGCUUCCUUCUGCCAAGGAUUCUAUCCAGGGCUCUACAUUACACGUCGUUAUGUUUUUUUAGGCUCCUCUUGGAGAUGGCAGUUUCUCAGACAUUGUUGUUUUUGAUAAGCUUGAUAGUUUUGAAGAGUCUCGGUCAGUUGGUUCCAGAUCUCGCCAUUGGAGCUCUUUCCAUUGGCUCCUGUGUCCUUCAGCAUAUCUCCAUCUGUUUUCCUGGCUGAAUUCAAGCUUCCUUGGUGAGGUGGAGAAUAAGAACAGACACCUUCUAAGGACUGAGUAUCUGUGCCCCUCCCAAAUUCAUGUGUUGAAGCCUCAAUACCAAUGUGAUGGAUUUCAGAGAUGGGGACUUUCGGAAGCAAUUAGGUCGUGAGGGUGGAGCCUUCAUAAUGGCAUUACAGCCCUUUUAUAAGAGACACAAAAGAGCUUGCUGGCUCGCUCUCUCUCUCUCUCUCUGCCGUGUGAGGAUCCAAGGAGAUGGCCAUCUGCAAACCAGGAAGAGGGCUCUCUCGGGAACCUGACCAUGCCGCACCAUCAGCUUGGACUUCCAGCCUCCAGAAUUGUGAGAGAGAAAUUUCUGUGGUUUAAGCCACCCUAUCUAUGGUAUUUGUUAUGGCAGCCUGAGCAGACUAAGGCAAGCCGUAAAGAGGAAAAUAUAAUAAAUUCUCCUGAAUUCUGUAUAACAUUAGCCAUUAAUCUACAUCAAUAUAUGGUGACGAUAUAUAAGUGGAAUGUACAAUGCAUAAAAUAUGCAUAUAUUAAGGUAAAGUAGGUAAUAAUGUUUAUCUUAAAUUACACAGACCCAUUUAGACUCUUUUGGUUUUAUAAUUUGGCUUGUUUUGUUACUAUCUCGAUGAAUUGCUUAUUCAUUUCAAAUUUUAUAACAUGUAUUUCUCCUUUGAGGAAAUGUAGACGAUUGAUAUUGGGAUAGAGCUUAAAUUGUGAGAAAUUACUCAACUGUGGUAAAGGGAAUACAUCAGAAGUAACACUUGGCUCACUAAAUUUUAUUUGAAUUAGGUGUCAAGUAAGCUAAGACGUGCAGGAGACAGCUGAUGGGGUAUGAAUUAAAUUUUAGGUUCUGCUCAUCAUUUGUUAGAAAUGGAAAUCAGUUUUCAAUAGUAUUCUCAUGUAUAAUUAAAACACAGAGCUAUGUAAUGUUUGGUA
RNAcentral lists this long non-coding RNA (1975 nucleotides) under Equus asinus (donkey). RNAcentral's name for it is "lncRNA (ENSEASG00005030890.1)". The record is from RNAcentral. Lineage: Eukaryota; Metazoa; Chordata; Mammalia; Perissodactyla; Equidae.